UCCAAGAACGUGACUCUGGAUACUCGGCA
Molecule: non-coding RNA, 29 nt
Filed under: Homo sapiens (human)
Lineage: Eukaryota; Metazoa; Chordata; Mammalia; Primates; Hominidae
Source: RNAcentral